GAGUUUGAUCGUGGCUCAGGAUGAACGCUAGCGGCAGGCCUAAUACAUGCAAGUCGAACGGUAAAUAUUUUAGCAAUAGAAUAUGAGAGUGACGUACGGGUGCGUAACACGUAUGCAACCUACCCUUUACAGGCGGAUAGCUCGGGGAAACUCGAAUUAACCCGCCAUAAGAUCAUAGAGUGGCAUCACUUAGUGAUUAAAUUCCAAGAGGUAAAGGAUGGGCAUGCGUCUGAUUAGUUAGUUGGUGCGGGUAACGGCCCACCAAGACGAUGAUCAGUAGGGGAACUGAGAGGUUGAUCCCCCACACUGGCACUGAGAUACGGGCCAGACUCCUACGGGAGGCAGCAGUAGGGAAUAUUGGUCAAUGGAUGGAAGUCUGAACCAGCCAUGCCGCGUGCAGGAAGAAGGCCUUCUGGGUUGUAAACUGCUUUUGCCAGGGGCUAAAAGCUCAUGCGUGAGAAAUUGAAAGUACCUGGUGAAUAAGCCACGGCUAACUACGU
This 500-nucleotide ribosomal RNA is filed under the name uncultured Bacteroidota bacterium. RNAcentral describes it as "bacterial SSU rRNA". It matches the Rfam family "Bacterial small subunit ribosomal RNA", at positions 9 to 506 of the family's 1533-position model. Lineage: Bacteria; Pseudomonadati; Bacteroidota. The record is from RNAcentral.